UAACACAUGCAAGUCGAACGAGUACGACCGGAGCUUGCUCUGGUACGGCUAGUGGCAAACGGGUGAGUAACGCGUAGGAACCUACCUAGUAGUUUGGGAUAGCCAUUGGAAACGAUGAUUAAUACCGGAUACGCCCUACGGGGGAAAGAGGGCUUCGGAUUAGAUGGGCCCGCGUUGGAUUAGUUUGUUGGUGGGGUAACGGCCUACCAAGGCAAUGAUGGGUAGCUGGUCUGAGAGGAUGAUCAGCCACACUGGCACUGAGACACGGUCCAGACUCCUACGGGAGGCAGCAGUGGGGAAUAUUGCACAAUGGGCGCAAGCCUGAUGCAGCCAUACCGCGUGUGUGAAGAAGGCCCUAGGGAAAUCGUUGUCGGUUAAUACCCGGCAGCGUUGACGGUACCUUACAAGAAAGCACCGGCUAACUCCGUGCCAGCAGCCGCGGUAAUACGGAGGGUGCGAGCGUUGUUCGGAAUCACUGGGCGUAAAGCGCGUGUAGGCGGCUGUCUAAGUCUGGCGUGAAAGCCCGGGGCUCACCCCCGGAAGUGCGCUGGAAACUGGACAGCUAGAGUAUGGGAGAGGGAAGCGGAAUUCCCUAGUGUAGAGGUGAAAUUCGUAGAUAUUAGGAGGAACACCGGUGGCGAAGGCGGCCAUCUGGGCCUAUUCUGACGCUGAGACGCGAAAGCGUGGGGAGCAAACAGGAUUAGAUACCCUGGUAGUCCACGCCGUAAACGAUGGGUACUAGGUGCCGGGGGUGUUGAUCUUUCGGUGUCGAAGCUAACGCGUUAAGCACUCCGCCUGGGGACUACGGUCGCAAGACUAAAACUCAAAGGAAUUGACGGGGACCCGCACAAGCGGUGGAGCAUGUGGUUUAAUUCGAUGCAACGCGAAGAACCUUACCAACCCUUGACAUAUGCGUCGCGAGGACCAGAGAUGGACCUCUUCAGUUCGGCUGGACGCAAUACAGGUGUUGCAUGGCUGUCGUCAGCUCGUGUCGUGAGAUGUUGGGUUAAGUCCCGCAACGAGCGCAACCCUCAUCCUUAGUUGCCAGCGAUUCGGUCGGGGACUCUAAGGAAACUGCCGGCGUUAAGCCGGAGGAAGGUGGGGAACGACGUCAAGUCAUCAUGGCCCUUACCGGGUUGGGCUACACACGUGCUACAAUGGUGGUGACAAUGGGAUGCAAAGUGGCAACACCUAGCCAAUCCCCAAAAACCGUCUCAGUUCGGAUUGUUCUCUGCAACUCGAGAGCAUGAAGUUGGAAUCGCUAGUAAUCGUGGAUCAGCAUGCCGCGGUGAAUACGUUCCC
Molecule: ribosomal RNA, 1302 nt
Filed under: uncultured prokaryote
Description: partial 16S ribosomal RNA
Rfam family: Bacterial small subunit ribosomal RNA
Source: RNAcentral